GACGAACGCUGGCGGCGUGCUUAACACAUGCAAGUCGAGCGGUAAGGCCUCUUCGGGGGUACACGAGCGGCGAACGGGUGAGUAACACGUGGGUGACCUGCCCUCAGCUCUGCGAUAAGCCUGGGAAACUGGGUCUAAUACCGGAUAUGACCUUUCCUCGCAUGGGGUUUGGUGGAAAGUUUUUUCGGCUGGGGAUGGGCCCGCGGCCUAUCAGCUUGUUGGUGGGGUGAUGGCCUACCAAGGCGACGACGGGUAGCCGGCCUGAGAGGGCGACCGGCCACACUGGGACUGAGACACGGCCCAGACUCCUACGGGAGGCAGCAGUGGGGAAUAUUGCGCAAUGGGCGGAAGCCUGACGCAGCGACGCCGCGUGGGGGAUGACGGCCUUCGGGUUGUAAACCUCUUUCGACCCCGACGAAUUUGGACGGUAGGGGUAGAAGAAGCACCGGCCAACUACGUG
This 460-nucleotide ribosomal RNA is filed under the name uncultured bacterium. Its description in RNAcentral is "partial 16S ribosomal RNA". It matches the Rfam family "Bacterial small subunit ribosomal RNA", at positions 28 to 507 of the family's 1533-position model. The record is from RNAcentral.